This 540-nucleotide ribosomal RNA is filed under the name uncultured archaeon. RNAcentral's name for it is "bacterial SSU rRNA". It matches the Rfam family "Archaeal small subunit ribosomal RNA", at positions 113 to 653 of the family's 1478-position model. The record is from RNAcentral.
CCUCAGGUCGGGGAUAAACCCGGGAAACUGGGUAUAAUACCCGCUAGAUCUCGAAUGCUGGAAUGCAUCGAGAUUGAAAGCUCCGGCGCCCGAGGAUGGAUCUGCGGCCUAUCAGGUGGUAGUGGGUGUAGCGUACCUACUAGCCUACGACGGGUACGGGUUGUGAGAGCAAGAGCCCGGAGAUGGAUUCUGAGACACGAAUCCAGGCCCUACGGGGUGCAGCAGGCGCGAAAACUUUACAAUGCCGGCAACGGCGAUAAGGGGACCUCGAGUGCCAGGUUACAAAUCUGGCUGUCGAGAUGCCUAAAAAGCAUUUCAUAGCAAGGGCCGGGCAAGACCGGUGCCAGCCGCCGCGGUAACACCGGCGGCUCGAGUGGUAACCGUUAUUAUUGGGUCUAAAGGGUCUGUAGCCGGCCGGAUAAGUCUCUUGGGAAAUCUGGCAGCUUAACUGUCAGGCUUUCAGGAGAUACUGUUCGGCUCGAGGCCGGGAGAGGUGAGAGGUACUUCAGGGGUAGGGGGUGAGAUCUUGUAAUCCUUGAA